RNA transcript from Hyposmocoma kahamanoa, 3151 nucleotides. RefSeq lists it as uncharacterized. The transcript is spliced from 13 exons. The record is from RefSeq and is a predicted model, not a curated record. Lineage: Eukaryota; Metazoa; Arthropoda; Insecta; Lepidoptera; Cosmopterigidae.
CUCCGCUCUGCCUCCGGCUGCCAGUCGCGAACGCGCCGUUCACGUUAGUUCAACUCCGCGGAAAGCGCGAGCACUGUCAUCGCCGUCACAAACCAACCGUGAAUUUGUUUUAAAACAGUAAAAUUUUUGCUUCCGAAAACAAUACUUAUGCACAAAAUGAAACUUUGAACAGUGCGGCAGUGCUCAAAAAACUCACGACACGAGUGAAAUGAGACGUUGAUCAACAGCGAUAAUGUCCAGUUAUUUUUAUUUUAUAAAAUUCACCGUUGUUGGUGGACUUUGCCAGUGAAUACGUUUACCUAUUUGGAAUUAAAGCACAGUAACGGCGAUGUAUGCAACGUCAACUGCGUCUACGACGUCGGGUUCGGGUGUAGCAGGGGCGGCGGGGGCAGUAGAACGUCGAAUCCGCGUGGUGCGGUUGCUGCGCCCACGCCGUUCAGCGCCAGCCUUCGGUUUCUCCUUACGGGGAGGCAGAGAAUACGCCACAGGAUUCUUUAUCUCGAAGGUCGACUUCAACUCAGAGGCACAUCUUCAGGGAUUGAAGGUUGGCGACCAGUUAGUGAGUGUGAAUGGAUACCGCGUAGAUGACGCAGUGCACUCUGAACUCGUCCACUACCUCGGUUCACAGUCUCGACUCAAGAUCAAAGUUAGACAUGUCGGGAUGCUCCCAGUGAAAGACAAAACGCACGAGUCGCUGUCAUGGCACUUCGUGUCAGAGCGAGGUUCCAUUGGCUCGGAUGUGUCAUCAUCACCCACCCUGUGCCAUGACACGGAGAGGUUGACUGAUUUACGACUUUCGAUUCUGGUGCCACCAAGAGCCAAACUUGGAUGUGGAAUUUGCAAAGGUCCAGAAUGGAAAUCUGGUAUUUUUGUUCAAUUUGUCCGUGAAGGCGGUAUAGCUCGAGAGGCAGGUUUGCGGCCUGGAGACCAAAUCCUGUCCUGCAACGGUCAGGACUUCGCCAAUGUGUCUUUCAACGAGGCCAUAUCAGCAAUGAAGGUGAGCGGUCGUUUAGAGCUCAUAAUUCGAGAAGGUGCAGGAUUAGAGUUGGUAUCCCCGGAAAGUUCGGGGUAUAACAGUUCUGCAUCGUCGGCAGCAGGGGAGAGGAGUCCCGCACCUUCCGCACCUCUGGCUCCAUUGGCCCCUCCAGCCGCCUUACGUCGACGACUAGCAAGUGUUGCUGAAGAGGCUGCGGAUCGUGCAGAUAGACUUACUAUAAAUAGGCUGAAAAGAAGGACGUGGGAUAGCCUAGAUUUUGAUUGGAAAACUGGCGACAUCCAUAACUUUGACACGCCGUCAGACAUCGAACCCGACUACGACUGCCCCAGUAUUCCAAAUAACCCACACAACUAUGAAAAUAAACACAACAUAAAGAAUAUGAAUAAAAACAAGGAAUUUAUCAGUACUCCAUCGAAUAGAACUAUUAUAAAUUUGACUGAAGACGGUGCCACCAUACAAUGUAGUUACGAUAAUCAGUCUCCUAGAAAAACGUUUUCAGGUAAACAGAUGAAUAGAGUAAAUGAUAAGAAGUCUAUAGUAGUAGAAGUACACCAUACAAGUAGCACGACGUGUGCGAAAGCUCAUUGCAACUUCCCAUCGCCUGCCAAAAAAGACUCCAGUCCCGACACCUCAAGUAUAUCUAGCUCAAAUACAUUAUCAAGUGCCAUUGCUGAAGAGAUACAGAGACGUAAAUUGAAUAAGAAAAAUUCGAAUCCCGAGGGUAAUAACGUGAAUCAAGUGAAGAAACCAAGUGUGCCAAAGCCAGUAGAUGAGAAGAAGAAACAGCACGACGCCCUCAUGGACGAGUUUAAGAAAGUCCACCGUAAGAUGUUUGCCAACCACGACGUUCAGAACGAAGAUUCGUCAGUGACUGAAAAUGGAGUUGGUAAUAAUUUGGAUCGCCAGCAGACAUUACCGUUGAGGAAGGUAGAACAUGCUUCGUCCGAGUUGGUCAAUGGUCAUUCACAAGUAAAACGGGAUAAUGCAGAUAAUCCCCCACCUCCGCCACCGAUGCCAACUACGAAUGGCACCCAAAACGGAUAUCACAAGCAAGAAGACCAUAAACCUAUGGCAAAAAAGACUAAUUCAGAUCUUAUUCUGAAUUCAAGUGUUAGGAAAAACGAUAAUCUGAUGCGAACUCCGACUCCAGACUAUAACUCGAAAAUGGAAAACGGAGUACCAAACAAAAUAAAAAAUGGUAAAGAAGAAAAUGCUGAGCUGGACUCGCUGGAAUCAUUUACUUUAAAGAAUCCUUCGACCGCCCCGCCUAAACCACCUUCGAACUAUUUUGUGAAGGCGCCCAACGGUACGGCGACUAUGAAAAAACACGGGCGGCCGGUGUCUGUGACAAUAGGCGAGUACGCUGGCGGAGGUGGCUCACGAAGAGAACCCUCUAAACUCGAUUUCCUAAAUGGAGAUAAGCCUGAUUCGCAGCAUACCCCUGAAGAAUCUUCAAUAUCAAACCGACUGCAGUCAGAAUUAGUACAGACCUUGUCUAGGUCCAAUUUACGGAAAAAAACAGAAGCUUUGGAUCUAGCUACUAAAGCAUCGUUAGUAAAGGAAUUAUUUAAAAAUGAAGAUAGUGAUACAUCUUUAGAUAAAAAUUUUCAUGCCAGAUACGGCAACAAUCUUUUGCCACUGCCGCCAUCGAUAUCCAUACCGAAAAUUUCAAAAGUAAAACAUUGAAUACAAAAUCUUUAAUUUCAUAUUGGCCAUGCUAGUAUUUCAAACGCCUGAUUGACAAAUUACUGAUUCUGGUCCAUAGUCGGAAGAAGAUCGUAUUAAAUAGACGUCACACCCGGAAGCCCGUCUGCUAAUCUAUUGCCUAAAUUAGUAAAUGGAAAUUUACACCAAAGUUAGAUACUAAAUUAUGAGUAUACUGGGAUUUAACUUAUUUUUACUAGUGCCACGGCUCAAUAUAUUUAGUUAUAAUUUAUAUUCAAUUUUUCCUCUUCUUCAAGAGACAUAUAAAAUUAUUUUUUUUAAUAUUUAAAAGCGUAAAAUUUAUUCAUGCAAAUGUAAUUAUUAUCAAUUGUUAGGUGUGUAAUACAUAUAUAUUAGGUAUUUAAAAGAAUGUAUUUAAGUUAGUAUUAGUGAGCGCUAAAUAUUUUAUUAUUAUGAACUGCCUAAGUCAUGUAGUUAUUAAAGAUAAAG